Sciurus carolinensis (gray squirrel) is the source of this 1518-nucleotide long non-coding RNA. RefSeq lists it as uncharacterized. The transcript is spliced from 4 exons. The record is from RefSeq and is a predicted model, not a curated record. Lineage: Eukaryota; Metazoa; Chordata; Mammalia; Rodentia; Sciuridae.
GGGGCGUGCCCUCCACGCAGGCCCCGGCCCGCCAGCUCGUCUCUUCCGUGGUCCUGCCUCUGGCCCUUCCCGCCCCGAGCGACCCUGCGUUCCCACCCCCUGCGCCGCCCGGUCUCUGCUCAGCAGGCAGAAAGUUCCACACACUGGCGCAUUGCCCCAGAUCGUGGUGGUUGGGUGACAGGAGAGGCGAGGCCGUCCCCACGCUCUCCAGCCCGCAAGACAGCAGGCCUGGCGACACCCUGCGUCCUCCCUCCUGGGUGCGCACCCCAGGGUGCAGACCCCCGGGGACCGUUGCUCCUUACUUAUCCCAGAAGAGACACUUAUACUUCACCGGUGGGGGUGGGGGUGAGUGAUUCGUGCGCACAAUUUUAAUGGCGUUGCGAAGCUCCCAGGAAUGCAAAAUGCCGCUGACUGGCAGGUGUUUUGGGGGCUGCUGGUGAGGACGGUCACGAGUUCUCUACUGCUGGGCGAGCCAGCUUCCCAUGCUCUUCCUCAUCUGGUGCCCACCACCAACAGCCAGUUAGGGACCCACCGAGUUACUUCACCUAAGUCUCAGUGUACAUCAUCUGCAAAGUGGAGCCAACAGAGGGUCUCCUGAAGGUGCCCAACCUGGUCUUGAACUUGGAAUCCUACUGCCUUAACCACCCCGCAAGCAGCUGGGAUUAUAGCUGUUCACCACUGUGCUGGGCUCAGAAAUUUUGUCUUGAACUUGACCCAGUCAAAUCAGGAUGUGCUUCUGAGAGACCAUUUCCAUCUCUGGAAAUGGGGCAGAUAGAUCAUCAAGAAUGUAAAAUGCCUCUUUAAAAAUACCAAGCGGACAACCGAGAACAAUGGCCUAUUUAAUAGGUUAGGCAGUCUCUUCUCCAUGAAUCACACUGUAUACAUAAUGGUGAUGAAAAUGUUCAGUUUGACAUUUCUUCCUGGCCAGGGAGGAAAUCAUGGGGGUGAAUCAUGGUUUUAGUGAUGACUGUCCUGGGGAAGCUAAAUUGGGAAGCCACAGGUUAAAAAAGGAGUGAGGAAAGCCAUGGUCAGAAACUCCAGGAAAGCAACAGACACCUCCUUACACCUGGGCAGACCCUGAAGAAGAAGAGCUGUUGGCCCCUCACGGAGGGAGGGGCCCGGGAAGCAGAGGAAACCAAACACAUCAUUUAGUUCCUCGUGCACUAGGAAGAGAUCAACGGCUGCCUGUAAAGAGAAGCACAACUGAACGCACUCACUCAAGUGAAUGAAAUUCGUUUAAGAGCAAUUGGAUUAGAGAUGGAGAUUUACAUGGAGACUUUAAAGAAGAGGAGCUGCAAGGGACAGGACAGAUGUUCAUCAGUCAUUUGCUGCAAACCAUAAACAGUGUUGCUGACUUAGUAUACAAUGUAAGGUGGAAAAAUGGGCCCCUAAAUUAUAAUUAAACUGUGAUUGUAACUGCAAGAUAGGUGUGCUGUGGACAAGGAUCCGUAAUACAGAGAAAUGAGCAUACUCACUGUGUUAAUUGCCAAUGUUAUUUGUUUUCCAUUGCUGAAUUGU